UACGUAGGGGGCAAGCGUUAUCCGGAUUUACUGGGUGUAAAGGGAGUGCAGGCGGCACGGCAAGCCUGAUGUGAAAGCCCGCGGCCCAACCGCGGGACUGCAUUGGGAACUACCGGGCUGGAGUGCCGGAGAGGUAGGCGGAAUUCCUAGUGUAGCGGUGAAAUGCGUAGAUAUUAGGAGGAACACCAGUGGCGAAGGCGGCCUACUGGACGGUGACUGACGCUGAGGCUCGAAAGCGUGGGGAGCAAACAGG
This 253-nucleotide ribosomal RNA is filed under the name uncultured bacterium. RNAcentral's name for it is "partial 16S ribosomal RNA". It matches the Rfam family "Bacterial small subunit ribosomal RNA", at positions 524 to 776 of the family's 1533-position model. The record is from RNAcentral.